CUACGGGGCGCAGCAGUGAGGAAUAUUGCGCAAUGGGGGAAACCCUGACGCAGCGACGCCGCGUGGAUGAUGAAGGCCUUCGGGUCGUAAAAUCCUGUCAGAUGGAGAGAAGUGUAGAGUAGCUAAUAUCUGCUCUAUUUGACGGUACCAUCAAAGGAAGCACCGGCUAACUCCGUGCCAGCAGCCGCGGUAAUACGGAGGGUGCAAGCGUUGUUCGGAAUUACUGGGCGUAAAGCGCGCGUAGGCGGUUUUAUAAGUCAGAUGUGAAAGUCCCCGGCUCAACCGGGGAAGUGCAUUUGAAACUGUAAUACUUGAGUACUGGAGGGGGUGGUGGAAUUCCCGGUGUAGAGGUGAAAUUCGUAGAUAUCGGGAGGAAUACCGGUGGCGAAGGCGACCACCUGGCCAGAUACUGACGCUGAGGUGCGAAAGCGUGGGGAGCAAACAGGAUUAGAUACCCUCGUAGUC
This 465-nucleotide ribosomal RNA is filed under the name uncultured bacterium. Its description in RNAcentral is "partial 16S ribosomal RNA". It matches the Rfam family "Bacterial small subunit ribosomal RNA", at positions 339 to 795 of the family's 1533-position model. The record is from RNAcentral.